CUACGGGGGGCUGCAGUGAGGAAUAUUGCACAAUGGGGGGAACCCUGAUGCAGCAACGCCGCGUGGAGGAUGACGCAUUUCGGUGUGUAAACUCCUUUUAUAUGUCAAGGAAAUGACGGUAGCAUAUGAAUAAGCACCGGCUAACUCCGUGCCAGCAGCCGCGGUAAUACGGAGGGUGCAAGCGUUACUCGGAAUCACUGGGCGUAAAGGACGCGUAGGCGGGUUGGAAAGUCAGGUGUGAAAUCCUACAGCUUAACUGUAGAACUGCACUUGAAACUUCUAAUCUAGAGUAUGGGAGGGGGAGAUGGAAUUAGUGGUGUAGGGGUAAAAUCCGCAGAUAUCACUAGGAAUACCUAAAGCGAAGGCGAUCUCCUGGAACAUUACUGACGCUAAGGCGUGAAAGCGUGGGGAGCAAACAGGAUUAGAUACCCCGGUAGUC
Molecule: ribosomal RNA, 439 nt
Filed under: uncultured bacterium
Lineage: Bacteria
Description: partial 16S ribosomal RNA
Rfam family: Bacterial small subunit ribosomal RNA
Source: RNAcentral